UCUCUCAAGUGUUCUCCACUUGGUGAGGGCUACAAGUGCCCCAUUGUAUCCUCCUGUGUGUGCUUAUUCAAAACUCACAGUGAUGAAGAGCUAUUUUAUUUUGGGAUUAGCUUGGGAUAAAUGUUUGACCUGUGUCCUUCUAUCACCUAAAUCACUACAGCAGUAAAAGAAAUCUUAAUUUGGCAAAGAACAAGUGCAUAAUUUGUGCUGUUGAAAUCAGUGGGAGGUGGAGCUCUGAGUCAGUUUAUACAGCUCUGCUUUCCUCCUGCUCCGCUGGUUGGAGAAUAGUGUGUUCCAGGAGCCAGCUGUCAGCUGGACCACCACACCUCUGCCUUUUAUGAAGUAGAGGUAUAAUGGGAUCCUCAGCCUACUCACCUCUGGAUCAGUUCAUCCAAGCAAACCCACACAGGAAAGUUGGGAUCAGGAAGGGGAAUCGUGGAAGACCAUGCAGCACUGAAGAUGAGCCAGAAAUACCUCAGUUGCGUUGGCUUACUGUAAAAAUUAUAGGUAUGAGAAAUCUCCGCAAAGCAGACCUGUUGAGCCAAACUGACUGCUACGUGAGGCUGUGGUUGCCAACAGCUUCACACCAGGAAGCCCGGACGAGAACUGUAUCCAACUGCAGGAACCCUGUCUGGAAUGAAACUUUUCACUUCAUGAUACAAAGUGAAGUGAAGAACGUGCUGGAGCUGACAGUCUGUGAUGAAGACACCAUCACACCUGAUGAUCAGCUUUUGACUGUACGCUUUGAUGUAGCUAAAAUCCAACCUGGAGAGAAGGUUCGCCUGAGUUUUGAGUUGAAUCCAGAGAAUCGGGAAGAACUAGAAGUGGAAUUUCUACUGGAUAACAUUCCAGGUGUAUCUGAAAAAAUAGUCACUAAUGGUGUGCUAGUGUCUCGAGAAGUUUCCUGUGUGGAAGUGCAAGUGGAUGACACAAGGAUGAAGACUCCUUACACAAGGAGAGAUUUCACCUUCGCAAUGAAGGGAUCCUAUGAAGAAACUCGGAAGAUUUCCAUGGGUCCUUCCUGUAGCCAAAGAGACAGUGAUUCUACCAUGUUCAACUAUAUCAAGUACAGCCAACCCAACCUGGACAUGGUGUUGCCAAAGGAACGUUUAUACUGUGGUCAUGAUGCAAACAGGAGGGAAAAGGAUAUAAAUAGUCCUCUAUCAGUGCCUCUGAAUUCUCUGGACCUGGGAAAGAAAAUGACAGUAGUGAGAGGUGCAUCUUAUGAAGUGUCUGUGAAGAAAGAAGAUGGUAGCAAGAAUUUAGAUUUGCGCUUGGGGUUUGAUCUAUGUGCAGAGGAAAAAGAUUUCAUCUGUAAAAGGAAGAAGGUUGUUGCUGCUGCUCUAAAAAAUGUUCUUCAACUUGAUGAAGACCUGCAGGAGGAUGAGCAGGUGCCGGUGGUGGCAGUCGUGACCACAGCAGGGGGAGUGCGGUCCAUGACGUCAAUGUUUGGCAGUCUUCUAGCUCUACAAGAGUUAGGUGUUCUGGACUGCAUCUCAUACAUCAGUGGUCUAUCUGCCACAACAUGGACCAUGGCAAAAUUAUAUGAAGAUGCAAAUUGGUCACAGAAGGAUCUCAGAGGGCCAAUUGAUGAUAUUUGGAAAUAUGUGAUCAAGAGCAAAUUGCACUGUUUCUCUACAGAUCAUCUGAAAUACUAUGAGAAGGAGUUGUGUGAAAGAAAGCUAGAGGGGCACAAGCUCUCUUUCACAGAUUUAUGGGGACUCUUCAUUGACUCUAUGCUACAUAAUGAGGAAAAUACUCAUAAACUCUCUGAUCAGCAACUGGCAGUGAAUCAGGGGCAGAAUCCACUGCCCAUUUACUUGUCUCUCAAUGUCAGGGAUAAAUUUAGCACUCUGGAUUUUAAAGAGUGGGUGGAGUUCACGCCUUAUGAGGUAGGUGCCCUGAAAUAUGGGGCCUUUGUUCGUUCAGAGGAUUUUGGUAGUGAAUUUUUCAUGGGCCACCUGAUGAAGAAGAUCCCAGAAUCCCGGAUCUGCUUCUUGGAAGGCACAUGGAGUAAUAUAUUUUCCCAGAGUUUUAUGGAUGUUGUCUACCUCUCGGGUCAUUCAGAGGACUUCUGGCACAGAUGGACUCGAGGCACUGAGCAUGACAUUGAGGAGCACCCUGCUCUGCCUACAAGACCUCAUGAGCAAACAACUUGCUUAUCCCUUCCCAAGGGUUACCUUUCCAAUGCUCUUCGAGAAAUGAUGACAGGACGUCCAGUGGUUUCAUACUAUCAUAAUUUCAUCAAGGGCUUGCAGCUGCAUAACAAGUAUUUAGAGAAUGAAAGCUUCUGCAUGUGGAAAGAUACAGUGCUUGAUUCUUCUCCCAACCAACUGAAUGCAAUGGGUGACUACCUCAAGCUGGUAGAUACAGCUUUCUUCAUCAAUACCAGCUGCCCACCAUUUUUGAGGCCAGAGAGGAAAGUGGAUGUCAUUUUGCAUUUAAAUUACAGCGGAGGAUCACAGACUCUGCCACUGGACCUAUUCUCAGAGUACUGCUUAGAGCAAGGGAUCCCAUUUCCCUGCACAGAGCUGAGCUGUGAGGAUCGGGAGCACCUGAAGGAGUGCUAUGUGUUUGAGGACAACUUAGAGGCACCAAUCUUGGUCUAUUUCCCACUUGUGUGUGAUACCUUUCAAAGAUACAAGGCACCAAAGUGCAGUACAUCUCAGCCGCCUUAGCAAGAAUUCCCCUUCCAAGGACAUUCUGCUGUCCUUUUCCAUCAGAUAGUGGAUAAAGAGUUGUCAUCUCUGUGUACCAAGUGGAAAAGCUAAAAAGACAAAAUUCUGAAUUUACAAAAGUGAAAUAUUCUCAUGGAAAACUGUAAUCUUAAGAGGAAGGUAUUUUGCAUGACAGAGUGGUUCUUCCAAUUAGUUGUGGAUCAGCUGCAAUUGAGGCCUAUCAGCGAAGUACUGGAUUUUAUUACUGCAGCAGAGAUGUGGAGCGCAGUCCUGCAGAGAUGGAGCAGGGAAGAGUAGAUGUGUCCAAUUGUUUUGCUCCCUAUGGCACUGGUCAACUUACAUAUACUGAAGGGAAUUUCAACAAGCUGU
Gallus gallus (chicken) is the source of this 3047-nucleotide RNA transcript. It is a transcript of the gene named cytosolic phospholipase A2 epsilon-like, with no coding region annotated. Lineage: Eukaryota; Metazoa; Chordata; Aves; Galliformes; Phasianidae. The record is from RefSeq and is a predicted model, not a curated record. The transcript is spliced from 22 exons.